Molecule: ribosomal RNA, 425 nt
Filed under: uncultured bacterium
Lineage: Bacteria
Description: partial 16S ribosomal RNA
Rfam family: Bacterial small subunit ribosomal RNA
Source: RNAcentral
GUGGGGAAUAUUGGACAAUGGGCGAAAGCCUGAUCCAGCCAUGCCGCGUGAGUGAUGAAGGCCUUAGGGUUGUAAAGCUCUUUCAGUAGGGAAGAUAAUGACGGUACCUACAGAAGAAGCCCCGGCUUACUUCGUGCCAGCAGCCGCCGUAAUACGAAGGGGGCUAGCGUUGUUCGGAUUUACUGGGCGUAAAGCGCACGUAGGCGGAUUUGUCAGUUAGAGGUGAAAUCCUGGCGCUCAACUCCAGAACUGCCUUUAAUACUGCCAGUCUAGAGUCAAGAAGAGGUGAGUGGAACUCCUAGUGUAGGGGUGGAAUUCGUAGAUAGUAGGAAGAACACCAGUGGCGAAGGCGGCUCACUGGUCUGGUACUGACGCUGAGGUGCGAAAGCGUGGGGAGCAAGCAGGAUUAGAUACCCGAGUAGUCC